AACAAGAGAGAUUAUCUUCAUGUACAUUUAAUGUAUUUAUGUAUUAAAUGUAGCCCUACACUUAUUAAAUGUCACUAUCAAACCUGUGCAAACAAUAUGCAAAGUUAAAGCACUCAGAAAUGUUUAAACUGUUCAAUCAUAAGAAACAAAUGAUCUUUCAUUUUAUUAUCAAACAAAGUGUUUCUGUCCACUGUGCAUCAAAUUAUGCAAAAUAUGUUACUUGCACACAGUCAAGCUGUUGACUUAAAGGGUGUGUAUUGGGUGAUAGCCCAGACGAAUGUUCAGAAUAAGCCACAUGACGGAGAAGAGCUGGAACGCUUUGCUGUCUUUGUAUUCUCGUAAUUUGGAAUAGAAUGAGGGAUUACCAUCUGAUCUCUGUUAUGAAAAGAAUCCAUUUAAUAAUGUAAAUAAUACCAGGCAAUCAAGAAGAUGUUAAUGCAUAAUAUCUGCUUCAGAAACCACAUUCUACACCUUAUCUUUUAACCUUGCUCCAUGGAUGUGUUAACUAUUCAUAUCGUGGAGGACUCGUCUGAUAGUGCCGUGUUCUGGGUCCAGGUUGAGUGUGCUAAUCCUUUCCUGCUAAACUUCUGGUUCCAAAAGACUUUCUUCAACAAUGGGGAAGUCCAGCAGAUCAACAUCCUGAGGAUAAACGGCUGUCAUGGGCUAGUGUUUGUUUUGAGGGUGCUGCAUCGUUCUUCACGCCUGCCUAAUUCCCAUUAUUGGUGCCCUUUCCUAGUGACACUGUGCCUCGAUGCCCUGGCAUUUCACUACCACCUCCCCACCCUGCCCCAGUGGAAUGGCACCCUUCGAGAGGCAAUGAGAGGAAACAGCCUUGAGCUCAGACGCUGAGAGACUAUGAGACUUUGCUGCUUAGAGAGCC
Long non-coding RNA from Ctenopharyngodon idella (grass carp), 880 nucleotides. RefSeq lists it as uncharacterized. The record is from RefSeq and is a predicted model, not a curated record. The transcript has 3 exons. Lineage: Eukaryota; Metazoa; Chordata; Actinopteri; Cypriniformes; Xenocyprididae.